This is a long non-coding RNA of Carassius gibelio (silver crucian carp), 1377 nucleotides long. RefSeq lists it as uncharacterized. The transcript has 4 exons. The record is from RefSeq and is a predicted model, not a curated record. Lineage: Eukaryota; Metazoa; Chordata; Actinopteri; Cypriniformes; Cyprinidae.
UAAUGUGAAAACUUUAACAAAUCUGUUUGAUAUAAAGUCUGCUUUGUAUAGUUAGCCUAAUUUAUUACCUUAGGGCGACCAAAUACGUUUUCCUUGAAAUUAUUAAAUAUGCUAUUUAUAUAUAUGUGUCUAUAUUUAUGUCGGCCGGCAAAUCUUGUGUGUAUUUUGGCACAGGGUGCACAAAUGCUCCUUAUCAGUGCGGUGACACUUGAACAAAUGAACUGAUCAUGCGCGACACUGACCAAUAAACAAACGAGUUGUUUUAUUGCGUCUAUGACUUGAAUCUUAUCAUCAGUUGUAGUGAUGGGAAGUUCGGAUCAUUUUACCGAAUCGGACUUUUGAGUCUCGUUCAGCAAAAUGAACGAAUCUUUUUUCGAGUCAUUUCAAAUGAACGAACAACCAGAAGGUUCAGGAAGAAAAAAACAAAAUGCUUGCAGUCUGUUUCACAUUAGGAGGCAUUUUGCUGCAUAAUCGAUCCACCACAAACCAUAUGCAACUAUGGAAGCUCAACUUCCAUUAAAUGGACUGAAAACGCUCAAGUAACGUUAUAGGUCUCAAAACGCUUGCUCUGCGCCAGUGGAUACACACCAUAGACAGUAAAAGAAAUAUGUGCAUGUCACAGACUGUCUGGGCAUGCACUUCCGCGUUUCAGAGAUCCGCCUUUUACUUUCCGUCAACAUUACAUUAAUUAACGUUUAGAAAAUUUAUUUUUGACAUUUGUGAAUCAGUUCAGAAUCGUCUGCCUAUGCAUUGCGAUACAUUUAAGAAUCACAUUUUUAUCCCACCCCUACUAAAUAUAGAGACACUUUGACAAGUGGGCACUGGAUGCUGAGUAUUGAAGGCGAGGUGGUGUGUGAGGGCACUCAGCCCAGUUUCCUGUCCGGCCUUGCCACUCUGUUUGCUGCUUAUUACUAGUUUAAUCUUGAGUAUCAGGAGGAAGCAGUGUGUACCUUGGAGUUCAUUCAAAGGUGCUUUGUGGGCAUAAAUCCAGAGAGAGGACCCAAAGCCAAGGGAAAAGUGCCAUCGAAAUAAAAACAGGACAAGUGAUACAGAAGAAAAUGUGUGGCAGUCAACCCACAUGUUGCCACUCUUCUGUGCAAAUUCCAAUGGAAUUUCUGAAAUUCACACUUUGAAUCCUGGGAUGGAACUUCAUCUGGAGCAUAAUUGUUAUUUGGUUGAUUUUUAUCUGUUUGAUGGAAAGUUUGUAUGACUUCUGCAAGUGCGCGGCUCCUUCCGGUCAGUCAUGCAUCACUUUUUUUUGUAUGACUUGUUUGGCAAUAUUGGUCUAUUCCUUAAUGAUGAUAGCUAUCUGAAAAUGUCUUUGUGGUUUUUAAAGGAUUAGUUCACCCAAAAAUGAAAAUUAAGUCAAUAAUUACU